GCUUACCAAGGUGGUAACGGGUAACGGGGAAUCAGGGUUCGAUUCCGGAGAGGGAGCCUGAGAAACGGCUACCACAUCCAAGGAAGGCAGCAGGCGCGCAAAUUACCCAAUCCAGACAUUGGGAGGUAGUGACGAGAAAUACUGAGGAUGUUCUUCGGAAUGUCACUCGGGAUGAACGUAGCAUAAAACAUUCGAUGAGGAUCUACUGGAGGGCAAGUCUGGUGCCAGCAGCCGCGGUAAUUCCAGCUCCAGUAGUGUAUAUCAACAUUGUUGCGUUUAAAACGCUCGUAGUUGGAUUACAAGGCGUCAAAGCUGGGUGCUAAAAUGUAGCUCACAGUGCCUCUGCGUCGGGCGGCGGCAACGUCAACCGGAGCAGAGGUGACGCCUUUUUGUCGCGCUGGCUCUAUCGUCAACUUUACUGGGGGCGGUAGACGCCGGCGGAGUGUGCCUUGAAUAAAGCAUAGUGCUCAAAGCAGGCGUACGCUCGUGUGUAAUAGCAUGGAACAGAUAACAGGCUUUCAGUCGCGUUAAUAGCGCGGCUGGUUUGAGGCCGGGCUCUUCGGGGGCCGGUUUCAGACGGUCCAUUGGUUGGUUGUGGACCGGGUCGCAUCGAUUAAAAGGGACAUUUGAGGGCAUUGGUACUUUGUGGCGAGAGGUGAAAUUCUUAGACCCACAAAAGACUGACUGGUGCGAAAGCGUUUGUCAAGAAUGUUUUCAUUAAUCAAGAACGAAGGUCAGAGGUUCGAAGACGAUCAGAUACCGUCCUAGUUUUGACAGCAAACGAUGCUAGCACAGGGCCAGGCUGUCCACCUUUUAACAGGAAGAGACGGCUUGGUCCUGCCGGGAAACCUCAAGCUUUCGAGUUACGGGGAGAGUAUAGCUUCAAGGCGGGAAUUUAAAGAAAUUGACGGAGAGGCACCACCAGGAGUGGAGCCUGCGGCUUAAUUUGACUCAACACGGGGAAACUCACCAGGUCCAGACAUUGGCAGGAUUGACAGGCUGAUAGACCUUUCAUGAUUCGGUGGAUGGUGGUGCAUGGCCGUUCUUAGUUGGUGGAGUGAUCUGUCAGGUCUAUUCCGGUAACGAGCGAGACCGCGGUCAGUAGUUUGCUGUUUGCAUGGAGCGUGCUUGCACGCCGGCAGGUAAUGCUAAAACAUUGCCUGCUGUUGCAGGCGGCACUACUGGGACUACUGGACUGUAAGCCAGGGGAAGCGCGGCAAUAACAGGUCUGUGAUGCCCUUCGAUGUCCUGGGCUGCACGCGCGCUACAAUGGCAGCAGUAGAGAGCCGCUGGGCAGAGAUGCCCGGCCAAACUGCAAAUAGCUGUCGUGAUAGGGAUUGUGCCUUGGAAUUAUUGCACAUGAAAGAGGAAUUCCUCGUAAGCACGGGUCAUCAGCCCGUGUUGAAUACGUCUCUGCCUCUUGUACACACCGCCCGUCGCUACUACCGAUUGAAUAGCAUCUAGAGCUGGCUGGACGACUGCUGUUUCGUUACAGUGUGACGAAAGGC
This 1508-nucleotide ribosomal RNA is filed under the name Ceratomyxa azevedoi. RNAcentral's name for it is "bacterial SSU rRNA". It matches the Rfam family "Eukaryotic small subunit ribosomal RNA", at positions 339 to 1756 of the family's 1831-position model. Lineage: Eukaryota; Metazoa; Cnidaria; Myxozoa; Bivalvulida; Ceratomyxidae. The record is from RNAcentral.